CGCAGCAUCUUCCCUGUCCUGGUGCCUGGCCAGGACAAACCAAAACAUGCAUCCCAGGAUGGACAGUGGGAUGCAUUCCUUAGGAUUUCAGCUCUGAGAACUGCAGCUGCUGCUUUGUGUUGCAUCCAUAACCACACAGAGUGGUGUGUUUCCCUUUCAGGCCAGGGCAAACGCACCUUGCUGCUCCUAGGCACAACUUGGAGAAGAAUUAUUGCCUCCACAGGGACAAUUUCUGCCAAGCCAUGGUUUUAUCACCUUUCUCUUACCAGAUCAGGCUGCUGCUUGCUGUUGGUUUCUCUGUGUUUGCUUCAACAAUUAUCUCCCACUCCCCGCCACUCUUCCAGCCGCUAAGAGUUUCAUUGAUAUUUUCAGCAGCUGCAUUUGACGACUGCCAAGUUUUACUCGCUGAUCCUAGCUCUCCAGUUUCCACGUGUUGUGUUCAGCUGCCAUCUCAUCUCUCCCUGCAUCUCUCACCACGGUGAAGGGGAAGCCCUGGACUGCCCACAGGUCCCAGCGAUGCCAGCAGCAAGGUAUCCCCAUAAUCCCCAGCUCUGGGGUCCUGCUGGUGCCACAGUGCUGCCCCUGGACAUCCUCAGGGUUUGUUACUCAGGGUGGAUCCAGUGCCCCAAAAGUGCUGGUGUCUCUGUUUGAUGGCAGUGACAGCUGGAGCGGCAGAGAUAGUGACAGAGCUCCCCUCUGCUGUCCUGGAGGAGAGGCAGAGCAAUGGAACAGGGACAGCAGGACAGUACCAGGUGACCACCAGCCCUGAGCAGCAUCUCCCCCACCUGGCACCAAAUGCACCCCCUGGUCUGGCACACACAUCUAGGUCCAGUGAUGCUGCUGCCUUCCUACCCACCACAGUUCAACCUGCCUAAUGGAAGCCGUUUAUAUGCAAAAUCCCCAGGAAAAAAAAAACGCAGCCUGUUUAUGGGAACGGAACCGCCCCAGCGUGAAUUAUUCAUGGACCUUGCAAGCUCAUUCUCAAAAUAUCAAUUUCUCCCAGUCAUGCCAAGCAGCACUUAAGCCUGAAAGCCCUGUUAAAAUGAAAGGCCCAGGGAGCCAGGCAGGGCAUGGGGCUGUGUGCCGCCUCCAGGGGCACCAAGAUCAGGGGCACAUGACCACCACUCCUGGUGCCCAGUCCAGCUCAGGCAGCCGGCACUCACUGGAGGCAUCUCUCAUGGCAUAGCCCUAUGGCCCUGACAUUGCCCCAGUGAGGGCAGUAGGGAACCUG
Molecule: long non-coding RNA, 1231 nt
Filed under: Chrysolophus pictus (golden pheasant)
Lineage: Eukaryota; Metazoa; Chordata; Aves; Galliformes; Phasianidae
Description: lncRNA (ENSCPIG00010014234.1)
Source: RNAcentral